This 253-nucleotide ribosomal RNA is filed under the name uncultured bacterium. RNAcentral's name for it is "partial 16S ribosomal RNA". It matches the Rfam family "Bacterial small subunit ribosomal RNA", at positions 524 to 776 of the family's 1533-position model. The record is from RNAcentral.
UACGUAGGCAGCAAGCGUUGUUCGGAGUUACUGGGCGUAAAGGGUGCGUAGGCGGCUUUUUAAGUCUGGUGUGAAAUCUCCUGGCUCAACUGGGAGGGUGCGCCGGAUACUGAGAGGCUAGAGUGCGGGAGAGGAAAGUGGAAUUCCUGGUGCAGCGGUGAAAUGCGUAGAUAUCAGGAGGAACACCUGUGGUGUAAACGGCUUUCUGGACCGUAACUGACGCUGAGGCACGAAAGCGUGGGUAGCAAACAGG